Molecule: long non-coding RNA, 2042 nt
Organism: Oncorhynchus mykiss (rainbow trout)
Lineage: Eukaryota; Metazoa; Chordata; Actinopteri; Salmoniformes; Salmonidae
Source: Ensembl
AUGGCAAUGUAACGGAUGUGAAACGCUAGCUUAGUUAGCGGUGGUUCGCGCUAAAUAGUGUUUCAAUCGGUGACGUCACUUGCUCUGAGACCUUGAAGUAGUGGUCCCCCUUGCUCUGCAAGGGCCGCGACUUUUGUGGAGUGAUGGGUCACGACGCUUCGUGGGUGACUGUUGUUGCUGUGUGCAGAGGGCUUUUGUGGAGCGAUGGGUAACGAUGCUUCGAGGGUGACUGUUGUUGAUGUGUGCAGAGGGUCCUUGGUUCGCGCCCGGGUAUGGGCGAGGGGACGGUCUAAAGUUAUACUGUAACAGCAAGACUUGAUGUAAUUAGAUGCUCUGGACAGAUCCCACCCUCCUUCCCCAACACAUGUAGAAUGCUUAGAAACCACCAGAAACCUGUGAAAUAGAUCAACAGAUGAUGUUUUAUCUCCUCUCAAGGUCUGUUGAUUUACAGUAUCUCAGAAUCAGGAACUGUCAUAUCCCAUGUGAUAUGUCAAAACAAGUUGAUACAUGGUGCAUUGGGUUUGUAUUUGUAUUUAUUGUGGAUCCCCUUUAGCUGCAGCAGCUACUCUUCAUGGGGUCCAGUAAAAUGAAGGCAGUUAUACAAUUGUAAAAACAUUCCCGAUACAUUAACAACAGAUUUCACAUAAUCCAUGUUCCUGUUUGAUUUCGGGGUAGGCUGUCAACAGCACGUACUGUGACACUAUGAUAUAUAUUCUGAUUAGACAUAUCUGACGUCAUGUAUUUGAUAUCUUUAUGUGAAGGUUAACGUCCAUAUUGACAUCAGUUCAUUGUGUUUGAGGACGGUUCACUGACGGGUUUUCAACGGAUACGAUUAGACGAGUUUAACAGUUACAGAAUAGCUGCAGUAUCAGAGGCGCAGAGCCUUAAUUAACGGGCUACACAUAAUGGCUGACGACAGCCAGAGCGUGAAAUGGGAGGAUCCCCCGGAUGACCAAAAUAAGGUUGUGGAGAAUAUGAAGGAUGAAACAGAGACACAUGAGACCAGCAAAGACAGGACAAGAGGCAAGGUAAGAAAUAUGCUGUCCUUUACACAUGCUCUGCCUACUUAGGCACAGAUCUAGGAUUAGUUUACUAUCACUAAAUCCUAGCCUUAAAGCAUUAGGAGGAGACGCUACACUGACCUUAGAUCUGCUAUGAGACCUAUAAUCUGUUGUCAUGUAGGCUAAACGUAAGUCCAGUGGCGGUGCCAAGAAGACUUCCGUGGAGGAGGACAGCAGCAUUGGUGCAGGUCCGAGAUUACUUCAUGUUGGGUGCAGGUUGUGUUCAAAUUCAUCAGCACCGAUCUGAGUAGAUAGUAUCUAUAUAGGUGAAAGCAAUAUAGUGGAGGCCCGCAGAGAGAUGUGCUUUUACCUGUCCAGUGCAAUCAAAUCCCUAAAGGUGAAGGAAAUUAGGGAUCAAGUUCAGAUUCAACUUUAGAUUUCUCUUUGCGGUUUCCCAGAGUCUUCUCAGACACCCGGGUGUGGUUUCCGGGAAAGGGGAUCUAUCAUUGAGCAGCUGGAGAAGGAGGCUCAGAGGACUCUAAUGCCUUCUCUCAAGAUUGGGACAUGCUGUGCCCCAAUCCUCCUCUCCUUCCUGAGGAGUCUAACUGAUGAGCAAGUCCCAUGUCUUUUUCCAACCUCACAUACAACAACUCUGAAUUUAUUGUCAUAGUGCACCUUCUAACCACAAAUGGGAUUUCAAACACUACACCUAACCCUAACAUCACUGUAACCACACACCUAACUCUUCCUGUAAAUCAAGAACAAAAUAUCUCAUGGACUUGCUAAUUGCUUAAAUAAAUACACGUUUAUUUUCCCUGACAUGGCUAUCUAGUGACUCCACUAACUCAACACCAGUGUGCAGGUAAAAUAUGUUUCCUUUCUUUUCUUUUCUCUAGCCAAUGGAGAGUGAUUCAGCAGGGCAUGAAAAAUAAUGUAAGUCUCUCCACAUAAGGUUCUGGUCAAAAGUUGUGCGCUAUAUAGGGAAUGGUGUCAUGGAAUUGCUUGAUUGACAAAAACAUUACUCUGUUUGUUGGCCAUAGC